Molecule: ribosomal RNA, 432 nt
Filed under: Chamaeleo namaquensis
Lineage: Eukaryota; Metazoa; Chordata; Lepidosauria; Squamata; Chamaeleonidae
Description: partial large subunit ribosomal RNA
Rfam family: Bacterial large subunit ribosomal RNA
Source: RNAcentral
CCCUGUGGUAACCCUAAACGGCCGCGGCACUAAAACCGUGCAAAGGUAGCACAAUCACUUGUCCCUUAAAUGAGGACCCGUAUGAAAGGCAACAUGAGAGAAAACCUGUCUCCUAAGGCCAGCCAAUGAAAUUGAUCUAUCAGUACAAAAGCUGAUAUUCACAAGCAAGACAAAAAGACCCUGUGGAACUUUUAACAAGUUGUUUACACAAAAAUAAACAAUAGCUUUAGUUGGGACAACUUUAGAAAAAAUUAACUUCUUUAAUAAAUCAGACCAACAAGUCUAAACACACCCACGACCCAGUCACACUGAUUAACGAAACAAGCUACCCCAGGGAUAACAGCGCCACCUUCUUACAGAGUCCAUAUCAACAAGAAGACCUACGACCUCGAUGUUGGAUCAGGGUACCCAGACGGUGCAGCAGCUGUCAAA